This 240-nucleotide unclassified non-coding RNA is filed under the name soil metagenome. RNAcentral describes it as "partial contains 5.8S ribosomal RNA, internal transcribed spacer 2, and large subunit ribosomal RNA". The record is from RNAcentral.
AACGCACGAGACCUGCGGACCUGCGGAAGGAUCAUCAAAGAAAACACAUAAUAACUCAUGGGUUUGGGAGGGGGGGAGAGAGGGAAGAGAGAUAAUCUCUUUCGCUCACUUUCCUUUCCUUUCUCUUGGGUAACCAAACAACUUACAUGACUAGGAAAUCAGAGAGGGAAGAGAGAGAUGAGAUAGAUAGGGGAAAUCCCUUGAUAACUCACUCACUCGCAAAAGUUCUUGACUGAUAAG